AAGUCGUAACAAGGUUUCCGUAGGUGAACCUGCGGAAGGAUCAUUAACACGUAUCCAACGUUAAACAACCCUGUGAACCUUCAGACAGUUCUUCUAGCCGCGGAAACGCCUGGGCUAAAAACCGAACAACUGUUAACAAUGGAUAUCUUGGUUCUC
RNAcentral lists this unclassified non-coding RNA (156 nucleotides) under fungal sp. RNAcentral describes it as "partial internal transcribed spacer region". The stretch from base 1 to 46 matches the Rfam family "Eukaryotic small subunit ribosomal RNA", at positions 1786 to 1831 of the family's 1831-position model. The record is from RNAcentral. Lineage: Eukaryota; Fungi.